RNAcentral lists this ribosomal RNA (330 nucleotides) under marine bacterium SIMO-IS132. RNAcentral's name for it is "bacterial SSU rRNA". It matches the Rfam family "Bacterial small subunit ribosomal RNA", at positions 75 to 408 of the family's 1533-position model. The record is from RNAcentral. Lineage: Bacteria; Pseudomonadati; Bacteroidota.
UGCUUUUUUGCUGACGACCGGCGAACGGGUGCGUAACGCGUAUAGAAUCUGCCUUGUACAGGAGGAUAGCCUUUAGAAAUGAAGAUUAAUACUCCAUAAUGUUGAGAGAUGGCAUCAUCUUUUAAUUAAAGAUUUAUCGGUACAAGAUGACUAUGCGUCCUAUUAGCUAGAUGGUAAGGUAACGGCUUACCAUGGCAACGAUAGGUAGGGGGUCUGAGAGGAUUAUCCCCCACACUGGUACUGAGACACGGACCAGACUCCUACGGGAGGCAGCAGUGAGGAAUAUUGGUCAAUGGAGGCAACUCUGAACCAGCCAUGCCGCGUGCAGGA